Molecule: non-coding RNA, 206 nt
Organism: Pelobates cultripes (western spadefoot toad)
Lineage: Eukaryota; Metazoa; Chordata; Amphibia; Anura; Pelobatidae
Source: the annotation of a GenBank genome assembly
CUUGCGUCGGAUUUGAUUAUCAAAUAUGGAGCUGUACAAUAUGGUGCACUCAUUCCAAGCUUCCAUGUGAAGAAGCCACCAUUGGCGUUCAUCCUCCGCUUCUGAGUCCAGAGUUACCAUAUCUGUGUAUGAUGCGCUGCCCUUGAGAUUAAGUUUGUAAUCGUUGUAGGGCUUGAUAGCCAAGAAGACCUGGAAAAUGGCCUGUA